GACGUAGGGGGCAAGCGUUGUCCGGAAUUAUUGGGCGUAAAGGGCGCGUAGGCGGUUGGAUAAGUCUUGUGUGAAAUCUUCGGGCUCAACUCGAAGUCUGCACGAGAAACUAUCUGGCUUGAGUGUGGGAGAGGUGAGUGGAAUUCCUGGUGUAGCGGUGAAAUGCGUAGAUAUCAGGAGGAACACCUGUGGCGAAAGCGGCUCACUGGACCACAACUGACGCUGAGGCGCGAAAGCUAGGGGAGCAAACAGG
This 253-nucleotide ribosomal RNA is filed under the name uncultured bacterium. RNAcentral describes it as "partial 16S ribosomal RNA". It matches the Rfam family "Bacterial small subunit ribosomal RNA", at positions 524 to 776 of the family's 1533-position model. The record is from RNAcentral.